AUACGUAGGGGGCGAGCGUUGUCCGGAAUGAUUGGGCGUAAAGGGCGCGUAGGCGGCCUGUUAAGUCUGGAGUGAAAGUCCUGUUUUCAAGAUGGGAAUUGCUUUGGAUACUGAUGGGCUUGAGUGCAGGAGAGGUUAUCGGAAUUCCCGGUGUAGCGGUGAAAUGCGUAGAGAUCGGGAGGAACACCAGUGGCGAAGGCGGGUAACUGGACUGCAACUGACGCUGAGGCGCGAAAGUGUGGGGAGCAAACAGGAUUAGAUACCCGGGUAGUCCUAGCCGUAAACGAUGCGGACUUGGUGUUGGGAUGGCUUUGAGCCGCUCCGGUGCCGAAGGGAAGCUGUUAAGUCCGCCGCCUGGGAAGUACGGUCGCAAGACUGAAACUUAAAUGAAUUGGCGGGG
RNAcentral lists this ribosomal RNA (400 nucleotides) under uncultured bacterium. Its description in RNAcentral is "partial 16S ribosomal RNA". It matches the Rfam family "Bacterial small subunit ribosomal RNA", at positions 523 to 918 of the family's 1533-position model. The record is from RNAcentral.